GGAUACUAAAAAGCAAUUGGACAGAACAUCGUUCUAUUUCACAUCACGCAAUUUAAAAAUUAAAAUGUUAGAUUACAAGUUCUACAAUACUAGGUCCACUACCAAACAUACAUUACUAGUCAAAAAAUAUAAUUAAUCUGCUCGUUUUGUCACUAUCAUGCAUGCAUUAAAGAAAGGAAAGAAAGUGCCUGAGUUUAUUAAGUUCCGCGGCAGGACGGAUCGUGCGCGAAGAGAUACGGUGCUGCUUUAAAUUCAUUGCAAUCAAUCUGUCCAUCACCAUCUUUGUCUGCCAGUUGGAAAGCUUUCACGGUUCCUUUGGAGUGUUCCUCCACGCUUAUUGCUUCGGCCAGCUCUUCCAAAGUAAUUCCACCACUUUUGUCAAGAUCAUAGUUUUUAAACUUGUCUGGAAAUGGAACCCGAACUGUAUUUUGUGGUUUGUCAAUUUCGGUACGUUUGCCCCAGGUGCAACGAACUCCACACUGAACUCUGCAUGGAUAGCACACCACACUACACUGCCAGCUACAACCGCGUGACAUUACACUGCUGUACAUUGUGCAGAAAAUCAAAAUGGCAAAAACCGAAAGUUUAUUAACGGAAGUCAUC
RNAcentral lists this long non-coding RNA (603 nucleotides) under Paramuricea clavata. Lineage: Eukaryota; Metazoa; Cnidaria; Anthozoa; Malacalcyonacea; Plexauridae. The record is from RNAcentral.